GUGGGUAUAGCUCAGUGAUAGAGCUCAUGCCUAGCAUGCACAAGGUCUUGGGUUCAAUCCCCAGUACCGCCA
This 72-nucleotide transfer RNA is filed under the name Camelus dromedarius (Arabian camel). It matches the Rfam family "tRNA". From Rfam's summary of the family: Transfer RNA (tRNA) molecules are approximately 80 nucleotides in length. Their secondary structure includes four short double-helical elements and three loops (D, anti-codon, and T loops). RNAcentral also lists the same sequence under 1 other name. Lineage: Eukaryota; Metazoa; Chordata; Mammalia; Artiodactyla; Camelidae. The record is from Rfam by way of RNAcentral.